UGGGGAAUAUUGCACAAUGGGCGCAAGCCUGAUGCAGCCAUGCCGCGUGUGUGAAUAAGGCCUUCGGGUUGUAAAGCACUUUCAUCUGGGAGGAAGGCGUUAAGGUUAAUAACCUUGGCGAUUGACGUUACCCGCAGAAGAAGCACCGGCUAACUCCGUGCCAGCAGCCGCGGUAAUACGGAGGGUGCAAGCAUUAAUCGGAAUUACUGGGCGUAAAGCGCACGCAGGCGGUCUGUCAAGUCGGAUGUGAAAUCCCCGGGCUCAACCUGGGAACUGCAUUCGAAACUGGCAGGCUAGAGUCUUGUAGAGGGGGGUAGAAUUCCAGGUGUAGCGGUGAAAUGCGUAGAGAUCUGGAGGAAUACCGGUGGCGAAGGCGGCCCCCUGGACAAAGACUGACGCUCAGGUGCGAAAGCGUGGGGAGCAAACAGG
RNAcentral lists this ribosomal RNA (429 nucleotides) under Chloroflexota bacterium. RNAcentral describes it as "Chloroflexi bacterium partial 16S ribosomal RNA". It matches the Rfam family "Bacterial small subunit ribosomal RNA", at positions 355 to 776 of the family's 1533-position model. The record is from RNAcentral. Lineage: Bacteria; Bacillati; Chloroflexota.